RNAcentral lists this ribosomal RNA (497 nucleotides) under uncultured bacterium. Its description in RNAcentral is "partial 16S ribosomal RNA". It matches the Rfam family "Bacterial small subunit ribosomal RNA", at positions 28 to 507 of the family's 1533-position model. The record is from RNAcentral.
GAUGAACGCUGGCGGCGUGCCUAAUACAUGCAAGUCGAGCGAACAGACGAGGAGCUUGCUCCUCUGACGUUAGCGGCGGACGGGUGAGUAACACGUGGAUAACCUACCUAUAAGACUGGGAUAACUUCGGGAAACCGGAGCUAAUACCGGAUAAUAUAUUGAACCGCAUGGUUCAAUAGUGAAAUACGGUUUUGCUGUCACUUAUAGAUGGAUCCGCGCCGCAUUAGCUAGUUGGUAAGGUAACGGCUUACCAAGGCAACGAUGCGUAGCCGGCCUGAGAGGGUGAUCGGCCACACUGGAACUGAGACACGGUCCAGACUCCUACGGGAGGCAGCAGUAGGGAAUCUUCCGCAAUGGGCGAAAGCCUGACGGAGCAACGCCGCGUGAGUGAUGAAGGUCUUCGGAUCGUAAAACUCUGUUAUUAGGGAAGAACAAAUGUGUAAGUAACUAUGCACGUCUUGACGGUACCUAAUCAGAAAGCCACGGCUAACUACGUG